AGAGUUUGAUUAUGGCUCAGGAUGAACGCUAGCUACAGGCUUAACACAUGCAAGUCGAGGGGCAGCAUGGUCUUAGCUUGCUAAGGCCGAUGGCGACCGGCGCACGGGUGAGUAACGCGUAUCCAACCUGCCUUACACUCUUGGACAGCCUUCUGAAAGGGAGAUUAAUACAAGAUGUUAUCAUGAGUAAGCAUUUUCGCAUGAUUAAAGGUUUACCGGUGUAAGAUGGGGAUGCGUUCCAUUAGAUAGUAGGCGGGGUAACGGCCCACCUAGUCUUCGAUGGAUAGGGGUUCUGAGAGGAAGGUCCCCCACAUUGGAACUGAGACACGGUCCAA
RNAcentral lists this ribosomal RNA (335 nucleotides) under uncultured bacterium. RNAcentral's name for it is "bacterial SSU rRNA". It matches the Rfam family "Bacterial small subunit ribosomal RNA", at positions 8 to 334 of the family's 1533-position model. The record is from RNAcentral.